CACGUAGGCGGACUGUUUAGUCAGAGGUGAAAUCCCGGGGCUCAACCUCGGAAUUGCCUUUGAUACUGGCAGUCUUGAGUCCGAGAGAGGUGAGUGGAAUUCCGAGUGUAGAGGUGAAAUUCGUAGAUAUUCGGAGGAACACCAGUGGCGAAGGCGGCUCACUGGCUCGGUACUGACGCUGAGGUGCGAAAGCGGUGGGGAGGCAAACA
This 209-nucleotide ribosomal RNA is filed under the name uncultured bacterium. RNAcentral's name for it is "partial 16S ribosomal RNA". It matches the Rfam family "Bacterial small subunit ribosomal RNA", at positions 568 to 774 of the family's 1533-position model. The record is from RNAcentral.